Molecule: small RNA, 666 nt
Filed under: Pongo abelii (Sumatran orangutan)
Lineage: Eukaryota; Metazoa; Chordata; Mammalia; Primates; Hominidae
Description: retained intron
Source: RNAcentral
GAACCUCUUAUGACCUUUGAACUCUAUGAUGAGUGGAUCCAGGCUUCCAAUAUCCAGGAGCAAGACAAGAAGCUUCAGGCUCUAUGGAAUGCUUGCGAAAAGUUGCCCAAGGCCAAUCACAACAACAUCCGAUACUUGAUCAAAUUUUUAUCCAAGCUGUCAGAAUAUCAAGAUGUAAACAAGAUGACUCCCAGUAACAUGGCAAUUGUUUUAGGACCCAACCUCCUAUGGCCACAAGCAGAAGGGAACAUUACAGAGAUGAUGACCACAGUGUCGCUGCAAAUUGUUGGGAUCAUUGAACCUAUCAUCCAGCAUGCAGACUGGUUCUUCCCUGGGGAGAUAGAGUUCAACAUUACUGGCAAUUAUGGGAGUCCAGUACACGUGAACCAUAAUGCCAACUACAGCUCAAUGCCCUCCCCAGACAUGGACCCUGCUGACCGGCGCCAGCCCGAGCAGGCCCGCCGGCCCCUCAGCGUCGCCACGGAUAAUAUGAUGCUGGAGUUUUACAAAAAGGAUGGGUAUGAACUGGUGUCUCUUUCUCAGCACUGGGGAUUAGGGGAGGUGGUGGGGGUGGAUGGGUGACACAUAAGAAAAAUACAGUUAUGGGAAGGCUGCACUGACUCUCAGCAGUUUAGGUGACUUGUAGCAAUUAAACUGUAUCUGCUG